RNAcentral lists this ribosomal RNA (445 nucleotides) under uncultured bacterium. RNAcentral's name for it is "partial 16S ribosomal RNA". It matches the Rfam family "Bacterial small subunit ribosomal RNA", at positions 354 to 796 of the family's 1533-position model. The record is from RNAcentral.
GUGAGGAAUAUUGCGCAAUGGAGGCAACUCUGACGCAGCCAUGCCGCGUGCAGGAAGAAGGCGCUACGCGUUGUAAACUGCUUUUAACCGGGAAGAAACCCCAGGACGUGUCCUGGGUUGACGGUACCGGAGGAAUAAGCACCGGCUAACUUCGUGCCAGCAGCCGCGGUAAUACGAAGGGUGCAAGCGUUAUCCGGAUUCAUUGGGUUUAAAGGGUGCGUAGGCGGAGCGUUAAGUCAGUGGUGAAAUCCUGCAGCUUAACUGUAGACUUGCCAUUGAUACUGGCGCUCUUGAGUGCGCUUGAAGUGGGCGGAAUGUGCCGUGUAGCGGUGAAAUGCUUAGAUAUGGCACAGAACACCAAUUGCGAAGGCAGCUCACUAAGGCGAUACUGACGCUGAGGCACGAAGGCGUGGGGAUCGAACAGGAUUAGAAACCCCAGUAGUCC